This 419-nucleotide ribosomal RNA is filed under the name bacterium. Its description in RNAcentral is "partial 16S ribosomal RNA". It matches the Rfam family "Bacterial small subunit ribosomal RNA", at positions 355 to 776 of the family's 1533-position model. The record is from RNAcentral.
UGGGGGAUAUUGCACAAUGGGCGCAAGCCUGAUGCAGCGACGCCGCGUGGGGGAUGAAGGCCUUCGGGUUGUAAACUUCUUUUGCUCUGAACAAGGCGCACUUUGGGGUGUGUUGAGUGUAGGGGUUGAUUAGCGCCGGCUAACUACGUGCCAGCAGCCGCGGUAAUACGUAGGGCGCGAGCGUUGUCCGGAAUUAUUGGGCGUAAAGGGCUUGUAGGUGGCUGGUUGCGUCUGUCGUGAAAGCUCAUGGCUUAACUGUGGGUUUGCGGUGGGUACGGGCUGGCUUGAGUGCAGUAGGGGAGGCUGGAAUUCCUGGUGUAGCGGUGGAAUGCGCAGAUAUCAGGAGGAAUACCGGUGGCGAAGGCGGGUCUCUGGGCUGUUACUGACACUGAGGAGCGAAAGCGUGGGGAGCGAACAGG